Molecule: ribosomal RNA, 107 nt
Organism: Homo sapiens (human)
Lineage: Eukaryota; Metazoa; Chordata; Mammalia; Primates; Hominidae
Source: Rfam
GUCUAUGGCCAUACCACCCUGAACGCGCCUGAUCUCGUCUGAUCUCGGAAGCUAAGCAGGGUCGGGCCUGGUUACUACUUGGAUGGGAGAACUUAAAACUAUUUCCU